Molecule: long non-coding RNA, 891 nt
Filed under: Homo sapiens (human)
Lineage: Eukaryota; Metazoa; Chordata; Mammalia; Primates; Hominidae
Description: HSALNT0236659
Source: RNAcentral
CUGCCACCCAGGCUGGAGUGCAGUGGUGCAAUCUCGGCUCACUGCAAGCUCCGCCUCCUGGGUUCAAGCAAUUCUCCUGCCUCAACCUCCAGACUACCUGGGACUACAGGCGCACGCUGCCAUGCCCGGCUAAUUGUUUUGUAUUUUAGUAGAGACGUGGUUUCACCGUGUUGCCCAGGCUGGUCUCCAACUCCUGAGCUCACGAAAUCUGCCCGCCUCGGCCUCCUAAAGUGCUAGGAUUACAGGCAUGAGCCACCGCGCGUGGCCUCCCUAGCAAUAUUUAACUUGGUGCUUAUGGUCCCCAGAGCUGGCCCUGAAGCUUGGAUGACUGCCAGGCCUGGGUACUUCCUUCUGCUUCUCCCACUGGCAGGGACUGUCCUGGGCUGCUUUCUUUCCACCAUGCCCUCUCACGGAGCAGGGUCGCCACAGGGCACUUUGCCACACCUGGACCUCGCCCACAACUCUGCUUUCAGAGGCUCCUGCUCAUAAGUCUCUUCAGACUCCAGACCCAUCUACAGUAGCCUCUGGACCCUGGGCAGGUGUGCCACUGUCCCCCACCUCCCUGGUCCCCUCCUGACUGCACAUUCAGUAGCUACAGGUCCACUUCAUUCCCCUGCUAAAGUUCUGCUCAUCUGGCCUUCCCUGUCUGGCCUCCAGCCUCACAGUUUCUCACUGAGACCAACGCAGCAGCCUCCUGAUCUCAUCUCCCUGCCUCUGGGCAAACCAUCUCUGAGCCAUCACCCACUCCAAGGCCAGGCUGUUGUUAAACUCACAGAUCUGACCUCACCACUGCCCUGACUGCAACUCUUUAUGGGUCUUCCUUUGUUAUCAGCAAUACAAAAUUAAUACAGGAGACUUUCUCCACAAGGAAAAUCCAAGGUCCAUAUCCUC